Molecule: ribosomal RNA, 483 nt
Filed under: uncultured bacterium
Lineage: Bacteria
Description: partial 16S ribosomal RNA
Rfam family: Bacterial small subunit ribosomal RNA
Source: RNAcentral
AUUGAACGCUGGCGGCAGGCCUAACACAUGCAAGUCGAGCGGAUGAAGGGAGCUUGCUCCUGGAUUCAGCGGCGGACGGGUGAGUAAUGCCUAGGAAUCUGCCUGGUAGUGGGGGAUAACGUCCGUAAACGGGCGCUAAUACCGCAUACGUCCUGAGGGAGAAAGUGGGGGAUCUUCUGACCUCACGCUAUCAUAUGAGCCUAGGUCGGAUUUGCUAGUUGGUGGGGUAAAGGCCUACCAAGGCGACGAUCCGUAACUGGUCUGAGAGGAUGAUCAGUCAAACUGGAACUGAGAAAAGGUCCAGAAUCCAACGGGAGGCAGAAGUGGGGAAUAUUGGAAAAUGGGCGAAAGCCUGAACAAGCCAUGCCGCGUGUGUGAAGAAGGUCUUCGGAUUGUAAAGCACUUUAAGUUGGGAGGAAGGGAAGUAAGUUAAUACCUUGCUGUUUUGACGUUACCAACAGAAUAAGAACCGGCUAACUUCGU